GAUGAACGCUGGCGGCGUGCUUAACACAUGCAGGUCGAACGGGAAACCUUUUAUUGAAGCUUCGGCAGAUUUAGCUGGUUUCUAGUGACGGACGGGUGAGUAACGCGUGGGUAACCUGCCUUAUACAGGGGGAUAACAGUCAGAAAUGGCUGCUAAUACCGCAUAAGCGCACAGAGCUGCAUGGCUCAGUGUGAAAAACUCCGGUGGUAUAAGAUGGACCCGCGUUGGAUUAGCUGGUUGGUGGGGUAACGGCCCACCAAGGCGACGAUCCAUAGCCGGCCCGAGAGGGUGAACGGCCACAUUGGGACUGAGACACGGCCCAGACUCCUACGGGAGGCAGCAGUGGGGAAUAUUGCACAAUGGGGGAAACCCUGAUGCAGCGACGCCGCGUGAAGGAAGAAGUAUCUCGGUAUGUAAACUUCUAUCAGCAGGGAAGAUAAUGACGGUACCUGACGAAGAAGCCCCGGCUAACUACGUG
Molecule: ribosomal RNA, 478 nt
Filed under: uncultured bacterium
Lineage: Bacteria
Description: partial 16S ribosomal RNA
Rfam family: Bacterial small subunit ribosomal RNA
Source: RNAcentral